RNAcentral lists this ribosomal RNA (468 nucleotides) under uncultured bacterium. RNAcentral describes it as "partial 16S ribosomal RNA". It matches the Rfam family "Bacterial small subunit ribosomal RNA", at positions 28 to 507 of the family's 1533-position model. The record is from RNAcentral.
GACGAACGCUGGCGGCGUGCUUAACACAUGCAAGUCGAACGGAAAGGCCCUGCUUUUGUGGGGUGCUCGAGUGGCGAACGGGUGAGUAACACGUGAGUAACCUGCCCUUGACUUUGGGAUAACUUCAGGAAACUGGGGCUAAUACCGGAUAGGAGCUCCUGCUGCAUGGUGGGGGUUGGAAAGUUUCGGCGAUUGGGGUUGGACUCGCGGCUUAUCAGCUUGUUGGUGGGGUAGUGGCUUACCAAGGCUUUGACGGGUAGCCGGCCUGAGAGGGUGACCGGCCACAUUGGGACUGAGAUACGGCCCAGACUCCUACGGGAGGCAGCAGUGGGGAAUAUUGCACAAUGGGCGGAAGCCUGAUGCAGCAACGCCGCGUGCGGGAUGACGGCCUUCGGGUUGUAAACCGCUUUCGCCUGUGACGAAGCGUGAGUGACGGUAAUGGGUAAAGAAGCACCGGCUAACUACGUG